Long non-coding RNA from Pleuronectes platessa (European plaice), 552 nucleotides. RefSeq lists it as uncharacterized. The transcript is spliced from 4 exons. Lineage: Eukaryota; Metazoa; Chordata; Actinopteri; Pleuronectiformes; Pleuronectidae. The record is from RefSeq and is a predicted model, not a curated record.
AGACGGCCGAAGGAACCGGAGCUCUGAGGGACGACAGGAGGGACCCGAAGGAAGAGAGGGUCCGCCGGCGACUGGAGAGAGCAGAGCUGGAAAAAGAGAGACUCAGGGAGAUAGAGGAGAGUAAGAAGGAGAAAGAGCAGCAGUGGCAGACUCAUGUAGCAGAGCUGACUUCCAGCCAGGAGAAGACUCUGACCGACCGACUGGCACGACUCAGAAGAUUCAGGGAGUUUCAGAGGAAGGUGCUGGUAGAGGAGUCGGGGACGGAGGUCGGGCCAACCACAGUCAACCAACUUCUCACCAGGAUGUAGAUUCCCCAUAAGAGGGAGUCACUCAGGAUACAUGUGUCCUGUGUUGCUCUUUAACAUGAAUAAAUCAUCAGUGUGACUGAAUGACAUGAUAAUAGAAGACAGCAUUUUAGAAUAGAUAUCAGCAAGCACUGACAGAUGCUGCACUGUCUCUAUACACUCGUAUCCCUGCUGCCACACCUCCACCACAUCACCUUUGCUCAUGACUGGGAUUUCCAAAAACCUUCAAGAGCAGCAAAAAAAGGUU